AACAAACGCUGGCGGCGUGCCUAACACAUGCAAGUCGUACGAGAAAGUCGGCUUCGGCCGAUGAGUACAGUGGCGCACGGGUGAGUAGCGCGUGGGUAAUCUGCCCCCCGGUCAGGAAUAACCCGCCGAAAGGCGGGCUAAUACCCGAUAACACUGACGCUCCGCGGAGCGUCUUUCAAAGAAGGCCUCUGUUUACAAGCUUUCGCCGGAGGAUGAGCCCGCGUACCAUUAGCUAGUUGGCAGGGUAAUGGCCUACCAAGGCUACGAUGGUUAGCUGGUCUGAGAGGAUGGCCAGCCACACUGGAACUGAGACACGGUCCAGACUCCUACGGGAGGCAGCAGUGAGGAAUCUUGCGCAAGUGGGGAGACCCUGACCCAGCGACGCCGCGUGAGGGACGAAGGUUUUCGGAUCGUAAACCUCUGUGUACGGGAAGAAGGAUGUGACGGUACCGUACGGAGGAACGCCCCGGACAAACUACGUGCCAGCAGCCGACGGUAAAAGUGUGUGUA
Molecule: ribosomal RNA, 510 nt
Filed under: uncultured bacterium
Lineage: Bacteria
Description: bacterial SSU rRNA
Rfam family: Bacterial small subunit ribosomal RNA
Source: RNAcentral